AACGAACGCUGGCGGCAUGCCUAACACAUGCAAGUCGAACGAGAUCUUCGGGUCUAGUGGCGCACGGGUGCGUAACGCGUGGGAAUCUGCCCUUUGGUUCGGAAUAACAGUUGGAAACGACUGCCAAUACCGGAUGAUGACGAAAGUCCAAAGAUUUAUCGCCAGAGGAUGAGCCCGCGUAGGAUUAGCUAGUUGGUGUGGUAAAGGCGCACCAAGGCGACGAUCCUUAGCUGGUCUGAGAGGAUGAUCAGCCACACUGGGACUGAGACACGGCCCAGACUCCUACGGGAGGCAGCAGUGGGGAAUAUUGGACAAUGGGCGAAAGCCUGAUCCAGCAAUGCCGCGUGAGUGAUGAAGGCCUUAGGGUUGUAAAGCUCUUUUACCCGGGAUGAUAAUGACAGUACCGGGAGAAUAAGUACCUGCAAACUACGUGCCAGCCGCCGCAGUAA
This 449-nucleotide ribosomal RNA is filed under the name uncultured bacterium. RNAcentral describes it as "partial 16S ribosomal RNA". It matches the Rfam family "Bacterial small subunit ribosomal RNA", at positions 29 to 523 of the family's 1533-position model. The record is from RNAcentral.